UAACACAGUAAAGGAGUUUAAGCAUGCGUGGGAUAGGCAUAAGGCUAUCCUAACUAUAAGAUAAGGCCAGGGACUAAUGAAAGUCUUUAGAAAAUUGGGCAGACUAGAUGGGCUGAAUGGUUCUUAUCUGCUGUCACAUGUCACUAUGUUUCUAUCAGACAUUGAGCGGAAAUGCUGGCACAGAGCCAAUGGGCACCAGCUUACAGACAAAAGUUGAUUAACGGUUUAAGCAGUAAAGGGAAG
This is a non-coding RNA of Pelobates cultripes (western spadefoot toad), 243 nucleotides long. The record is from the annotation of a GenBank genome assembly. Lineage: Eukaryota; Metazoa; Chordata; Amphibia; Anura; Pelobatidae.